RNAcentral lists this long non-coding RNA (629 nucleotides) under Marmota monax (woodchuck). The record is from RNAcentral. Lineage: Eukaryota; Metazoa; Chordata; Mammalia; Rodentia; Sciuridae.
UCUUUCUAUUUUGGGAUCAUAGUAGUCUUCACAUGUAUUCUGGAGCAGGGCAAUAGGUAGAGCCCUAUCCUAGACAAAGCUGGCCUUUUGACAGAUCUUAACAAAAGUUUUUACAUUUGAAGCUAAUCUAUUCCCUCUUUCUAAAUAUCAUUCUGUUUAGGUAGAUGUGGAAGCAAAGUUUUAUAUAUUGUUAAUUUGUAAGGGACAAAUGAAGUUAACCUUAAUAACAUUGCAUCUGAAAUUUGAAUCCAUCAGAAAGACUAAGAGAGCCCAUAUUUUUCUUUCCUUGUGAAAAAAGGGGCAAAAUAUUUUUAUGUUGCACAUUGCCAAACUUAAAUCAACCAGGCUCUUAUUAUCCUUCCAAAAAUACAUUUAAAUUCUCAUGCUGGUAUAAAUAAUAAUAUAAUUCUCCAUAUAACUUAUUGAUAACAGGUUAUUAUUCAGUUUCAAAAUAUUGAAUAGCAAAAUAAAUCCCUGUUAUGGUCUACUUAUGAGGUAUCCUCCAAAAGCUCAUAUGUAAGACAGUAUCAUAAUUUUCAGUGGUGAAAUGAUUAGAUUAUGGAGAUGUGAACUAAUAGGCUGAUACGAGUCAACUGGGUUGUAACUGUAAGCAGGUAGGGUGUGGCUGG